RNAcentral lists this long non-coding RNA (8967 nucleotides) under Vitis vinifera (wine grape). Its description in RNAcentral is "long non-coding RNA (VVIN_LNC001226)". The record is from RNAcentral. Lineage: Eukaryota; Viridiplantae; Streptophyta; Magnoliopsida; Vitales; Vitaceae.
CGAUGCACAUUAAGUAUUUGAUAGAAUAAGAGGACCAUUUUGUUUGCAAUGACACUCUUAUUUGAAAUAUUGCAAGUUUUAAUGGCUAUCUUUUUGCUGACUGGGAAAUAUUUUGUGAGAAUGGUGGAACUCCACCAGUAAUUAGAUGAAGUCCAGUGAAACAAAACUAAAUAUGGAAUGGUGGUGCCUUUAAAUGAGAUGCGUGGGUCUUGCUGGACUGAAAGCAUUGAUUUUGAGAAGGUGGGCGGGUGGGCUGUUAGCCCCGUGUUCCUUCUGACUAGGCCACUGGAUAUCUUUGGGGCUUUUUUUUUUGUGGAGCUCAGCCUGCUUGCUCUCGGGAGCUACCUAACAGAUUGUGUUUAUUUAGCCUUAUGGUCAUUCUCUGCGAGAACAUAUGAAAGAAAUCUAAUAGAAGAUGGCCCAAGUGGGUGUAUGAAAAUUAGACUUCUAAAAGGUAGGUUAGGAGCAGGUUUGGUAAGAUCUCUGUGCCUUGCUUUUUGACAGCUUCGAUGACAAUAAGCUGGGCCAUUAGAGGUCUAGCACUGUAGGGAUCCCUAGAAAAAUUUCCUGAAAGACGAUUAAGAGAAUUGAAGAUUCAAGGCAUGUGAGUUGUCGAAAAGCCGUCUUCUUGACGCUAUGCGGCAUCACCUCGGUACUUGGAUUGACCCCGACUUCAACCACGAGGCGUUAGUCCCCUUGCAGCUUGCGUUAUAAUCCUCGUUAACUUUGUGAGGAAAAAACCUAUUGGUUGAAGUCGAUGAUAGGAUGCAUCAAUUACUAUGAUUGCUAAGUUGUUAAUUAAUCUAAAAGCUUAGAGCAUCAUUGUUAUAUAUGCGGUGUCCUAGCCCGAUAGAUCCAAAAAACCUUGCUCGUAGGCCAUGUAUAUUAGUUUGAUUUAGUUGAGGAUCCGAAAUCUAUUCGCCUUAAAUGAAUGAACGUUGCUUUUCCAUACUGUCAGCCAUCACCCCAUUCCAUAUCAAAGCCAAAUUACUUGAUAAGCCUUUUUAUUUGGUAAAACUUAAUACUUAUUAUUUAAUAACUUAAAUUAGUUUUAAGUUAAAUUAUUUUGAAGUUGUUGAUUUUAAAUUUAUUAUUUAAUUUUUUACUUUUAAGUAAAACAAUUAUUUUGUAAGAUUAACUUAAAAUUUAUUUUAAAUCAUCAAUUUGAGAUAUUUCUCUUAAUUAUUUUUAACUAAUAUUUAUAUUUUCACUAAUCACAAGUAAUAAAUUAAUUUGUUAAAUAUCCACAUUUAAAAUAUUGGAGAUAUGUAAGAUAAUGACAAAAAUAUUUUACCAUAAAAUAUGAAUUGUGAAUGUGAAGUUAUAGUUGUAACAUAUUUUGACUGAGCAUGGACAAACGAGACAAAAGAGAUUUGAGAAUAAGAAUAAAUAAUUAUUUUAACUUAAUACUUAAAGUUAGUUUUUAUUUUAAAUUGUGAUAUUAGGUUGUUGUGAAAAAGUUUGGUUAAUCUUGGUUUUAAUGAUGUUUAGAAUUAAUGAUUAUAUGUUUAGAAUUAAUGAUUAUAUUUCAAGUAUGACUAGGUAAGAUGAGUUCCAAAGUGGCAAUUAUAAAGGCUAAAUCAAGUAAAAGGAAAAUCAAGAAAAAAGAUGAAGCCUCAAAGAGAAGAGCUUUCAAGAUAUUUCAUAGAAUCUCUUUGUAAUGUUAUUGGUAUAGUAGGUUUUUCAUGCAUCUUAUUUUGUUUGUUUUACACAAAAAAUUCAUCUAAGAGUUAUUUUAUUUAAAAUAUUUCCUAAUUGGAUGAUUUUUUAUUCUCAACUAAAAACCUUGUUAAAUACUUUUAAAAACUUGUUUAAAAGGUUUUGAGUUGAAAAAUAUGACUGUUGAGCUAAAAAGGGUCCAAUCGAUCAAGGGUGAACUAAAUUGACUCAACCAAUUAAGGAACCGGUUGACCUAUUGCCAUUUCUAGGUCGAGAACUGGUCAAGGGGUGCAAAAUUUUCUCUUUCUUCCAAAAGGGUUGUCUUCCUGAUUGAGGGAAAACCUUUCUUAGUAAAGGGUACCCAUUUCUAAACUGGUUGACCUACUGCCCUUUCUAGGUAGGUAUUUCACUAUUUGAGUUUUAAAUUAUUUUAAAAAAUUAAUAGACUUAUUAAUGAUCCAAUGUAUUAAGUCUUGUUUAAUUUUGAGUUUAUUUAUCAAGUGAAAAAAUUAGAAAAAUGUAGUUGGAUGUAGAAGAGAAACAAUAAAGUCACUUUAGUUUUGGUAUUAAUUUUAUCAUUAUUUGAGUUUUAAGUUAUUUUUAAAAAUUAGUAGAUUAGUUAAUAAAUGUAAUACAUUAAGUCUUACUUAUUUUAGAGUUUAUUUGAAUAGUAAAAAUUUUUACAAAAAUAUGAUUAUAUGUAAAGAAGAAACUAGUUAAGUCAUUCAAAAUUAAAUUUGGUUCAUGUUUUUCUAAUGUUAUUGACUUAUUUUAUUUAUCAAGUGUAGUUUGUUUGAAAUUUAUUUACUUAAUGAAAUAUUUUAUAACAAUUAAAGAAAAUUAAAAACAAAAUAUGCGUAAUUUGAAGGAAGAUCAUAUUUGAAGAUUUUUAGCAUUAAUAUUGAAUUAUGGAAAGUGGGAAAAAAAAUCAGAUUUAAAUUUUUUUUUUAUGGUUUGUUUAAUUUCUAUAUAUAUAUAUAUAUAUUAAAACAAAUGAAUUUAAAACCCAUUUUCUAUUUCACUUUGUUUUAAAAAUUGGAAAAAGAGAACUAUAGCCAAAUAAUGCUAUGAAUUUUUAAAAAUAAUUUUUUAUUUUUAAAAACAAAAAAACUGUUCUUUAAUCACCGGACUAAAACAAGCUCUACAUCUUUUCAACUCAUUAUCUAAAAUUAUUCUUAACAUAUUAAUCAACCUUGUUGAACUUACAACAGAGCUUUGGGCUUUUGAAAAGCCAAGCAAAUCACAAAGUUCAAAAGGCCCGAGAAGGUUUCAAGUUCAAAAAUAAGUUUAUAACAUAAGCAACCAUGGGUUAUCUUAUAAAAGCAUUUUUUUACACGAUAAGUAUGAAAAAUUAUUUCAUAUUAAGAGUGUGUUUGACAGUGAUUUUAGAAACACUAAAAAAUGUUUCUAACCUUUGUAAUACUUGAAAGAUUUUUUUUUCUUCAUGUUUUAGAAAUGUUAAAAGUGCUUCUUAGAAUCACUUUCAAUCGGACUCUUAACUAUUAAUUCGUUUAAAAAUAAAAAAAUAAAGAAUUAUUGAAACAAACUUGGAAAGAGCUAUAUGUCCAAAUUAAAUAACGGAGGUGAGUCAAGUCUUGCUUGCAACUACUUGUGUUUCCUAAACAGACUCCACUUUGGAUAAAUUUUGUUGAUUUUCUACUUCUCAAUUUCGAAUAUAAGAAGAGGGAGAAUUUGGAUUAUGUGUAGUCUUUUAUUUCUCUUUUCUAUUACUUCCAAUGAUUGAAACUGUUUUUAUUUUUAUUUUUUCAGUUUUUCAGUCUUGCGCACAAAAAUUUUCCAAUCUAUGCAUGAAUUAGAGAAACGAAUUCAUUUCUAGUAUAAUCAUCAAAAGAUACAAGCAAACAAACCAAAUUACAACAUGGGUGGACAUUUAUCCUUUCAUUUUUAUUACAAAAUAUGUAUGUAUCGAUAGAAGUAACCAGAGCCCCUUUAUUCUUUAAAUAUAAGUUCAGUAUCCUCUCUUGACUAGUACUGGCCUCCAUACCUGCACCAAGAGAAAAGAAUAUGAUCAAAUUGUAUUCCGAAGAAAUGGGCCUUCUUACACACAUAAGCAGUUGAAAUUAAGAAUAUUCUGUGAGGCCUACAGUUUCCUCUCUAUGGUUGGCGCUUGUCUCUUUUCUCAAUGAGGUAAAUUAGGUACGUGAUAAAUUGGGGGUCCACCAGGGAAACGGGGUGACGGUGGAGAUUUCUUAUAUGGUGUUGGUGGCGCUAGUGGCGUGGUAUGGUUGUUCUCAGGAGGAGGAGGUGGAGAUUUCUUAUAUGGUGUUGGUGGCGCUAGUGGCGUGGUAUGGUUGUUCUCAGGAGGAGGAGGUGGAGAUUUCUUAUAUGGUGUUGGUGGCGCUGGUGGCGUGGUAUGUUUUUUCUGAGGAGGAAGAGGAAAAUAUCGACGAGAUGGUGGCGAUUUGUAGUGAAGCCGUGAAGGUGGAGAAAAGCGGCGUGGAAAUGGGUGAGGGAAGCGUGGAGAGGAGUAACGCAAGUAUGCUGAGGUGUUGGGCAGCAAACUUAGAAAGACAACCACUAUGAAGAGAGAAGUGGUAAAGGAGGCCAUGGAGAUGGAGUCUUCCUUCCCCGUUUUGCUUCCCAUUUUCACAAGCAAAGUGCUAAUGUGUUGGACUGGUUGUGCUCCUAAGCUUUUCUUCUAAAGCCUUUUUAUACACAAGUUUUUUUUUUUUUUUUUUUUUUUGUGGAAAUUAACAACCAUCCUGCAUUAGUCUUGCGUCUUAGACACUCUUAAAGUCGUUUUUUGAUUUUUCAUUCAAGGAGAAAUCUUGGGUCUGCACCGUCAAAGAAGGCGGUUUACUUAUUGUUUGAUGUUGGCUGGCUGUAGAAUAGAAAAUUUUGAAGAAGAAAGAAAGAAUUUUGAAGUUUCACCGCUCCUUUAAAUUUCACGACAUGAAAUAAUUUUGUUUUAUUGGCAGGAGUUUCUUCUAUUUUCUGUGAAAACAAGAUGAUUUUCUGAAGUACUAGAAAUUAGGAAAUGGUGUAAAACCAAUGUAGACCAGAAAUUUAGUGGGGGAUGCGACACAUCAGAGUCUUUCCACUCGGCAAAGUCUCCAGCAGUUACAAUCAAAUUAUGUGGAAAAGAAGAAAAUUUUGAGAUGACUGGUUCUGCAGGCAUAGAGAAAGCACGAAAUUGAGCACUUCCAUAAGUACCAAUCGUAUUUCCUAGAAUUCCAAACCUUGAAAAGAUAUUCUCCUUUAUGAAUUUCAGUACCACCUUAUGAUCAUUUGUCUCACAUGCAGCAACCUCUACCCCCAUUUAGAAAUGUAGUCUACCCCCACAAAAAUGUAUGGAUUCCCAAAGAUAGGGAAAAGGCCUCAUAAAGUCCAAGUCCCUAACAGUUGAGCACUCCAUUAAAUUGCAACAAAUAUUAUUUCAAAAUAAUAUUGUGAUAUUUGAUUAUAAUAUGUCUAAUUUUAAAAUAUAUUUAAUAUUAAAAUUAUGAUCUUUUUAAUUCAAUUGUAUUAAAUGAUAUAAAAUAAAUUGUGAUAUAUGUAUAAUUUUUUAAUAUUUAAUUAAUCUAUUAAUGAUGUUAAAAACACUAUGAACAAAAUUAUCAUGAUAAUUUUUAUAUUUUUGGUAAUCAAUUAAAUGAAAAAAAUUUCAUUUAAUUAUAAAAUAAUUAUAAUUAAUUUGUUCUCUAAAAUAUUCUUUCAAUAUUUUAUUUACAUGAUGACUUUGAAUAUAAAUAUGUUUGGUGCAAUACAUUUAACAAGGGACAUACUUGCCCUAGUGGUAGGCCAUGGUUCAGGUAAGUCUCUUGUUUGGGGUUCAAGUCUCCUUAAUAAGCUUUCACUAUACCUGUUUACCUGGUUUAGACAACAUUUGUAUAUUUGUGCUCCUUAUAACCUGGUUUGGACAACAUUUGUAGCGAUACAAGUGAUCAUCCUAGAUGGAAUUCUUGGCCCUCGACAAAAAAUACCUCUUCUCAUAUUGAACACUUGAAGUACUAAUAUCCACCGUAGGUCUUGCCUUUGCAUCCUUCUGGUUGAGUAAAUACAUUGGGGUUCAAUGGUCUAUGAAUAAUAGAAUGGCAGUAUGCAAUAGAUAGUUUCUAAACUUGUCAAAUGUGAACACCAUAGCAAGCAACUCUUUCUUGAUAGUUGUGUAAGCUCUUUGAGCUUCAUUAAGGGUCUUGUUAGCAUAGUAGAUGACAUAUGACUUUCCUUCCUCUCCAAGCCUAGCAUUACUCAUAACAUCCAUAUGCUUGUUCCUUAUAUCUCCUUACUUUAUAUAAAAGUACGAAAUGUUUUUACAAUUUUUUUUCUAAAAAUAACCUUAUCAUUUCUAUUUUAUGUGCUUAUAUCCUAAUAUUAUUAUAUAUAAUUAAUUCAAAUAAUGUUUCUAGAUAACCUAUAAAAAUACUUUUAUGACUUAAAAAAAUGUUUAGCAAACUUUUCAUAGAAAACAACUUUUUUUUUGAGAAUUUAUUAUGAAAACAAGUAUUUUAAAGAACAAAUUUAAGGUGCUUUCAAUUAUUUUUUGUAAAGUAUUCCAGACAAUAAUUGAAAAUGUGAAAAUUACUUUUCAAACUUGUGCAUUGUAAAUUAGUGUAUAGUAACUUGAUGGAGAAUAAGGUAAUAAAACUAAUUUUCAUAUUUGAAUUCUCAAAACUUUGUUCUUGGUUUUCAAAAACAUUAUCAACUAUAUCCAAUUGGUACUAAUUGAUUUGGUUUUUGUGUUUCAAAUUACUUUUAAAUAAAUCCAACAUAUUAAGUCUUAUUUGUUUAGAGUCUAAAAAAUUUUGCAUAGAGUAAAUUGUGGAGAGCCAAAGUACUCAUUAGAGAAUGGUUUUGUUUUCUAAAUUUGGUUAUAUUUCUUCAUGUUUCCUUUUUACUCUAUAAGCACAACCAAAAACUUGUUCUCUCAAAGUUCAUAUCUUUUUUUUUUUAAUUUUAAAAUACUGUUUCUAGAUGAAAAAAAAAAAAAACAUAAAGACAAUUUUAGUUCUCGAAAAAUUUGAGGGAAAAUGUGAGAGAAAGAAAAUAAAGAGGAAAAGUGAAAGGAAAGAUUAUUUUUAUAUGUUUCUUCAAAUUUAAGAUUAAAUAUUCUUUAAAUAUAUGAAUUUCUAACUAAUUUUAAUUACAUUUUAUUUUCUUUCAUAUUUUUCAUGGUGAAACCAAAUUUUAAAGCUGAAUCAAAUUGAACCAUACUCAGUUCAACUAAAACAACAUUAAAAAAAACUUCAUCCUUCUUUAUUUUCCUAUAUUUUCUCCAAACAGAAGGCAAAGUCAAACAUAAAUUAAAUUCCCCAACCACCCAUCAACAAAACAACUAGUUCCACAAAAAUCCCAACAACUUCCUAAGAAAUUCCCCAAGCACCUAUCAUAAAAACACCCAAUUGAAGAAAAAACCCUAACAAAUUCCAAAUAAAUUUCUCUACAAAAGGUGAGGAAAAAAAACAUGAAUAAGACUCAUUGUGAGAGGAUGACACAGGAAUAAACCCUAAAAGGUCGGAGUUUGGUAGGAAAUCAAGGCCAUUAGUGGGAAUCCAUGGUGUCUCUACAACCUGAGGAAAUACAGUUGUUGAAAUCAGAGGUGAGAACUAAUAAAUAGUCCAUGUAAACCAUUGAUUUUCCUAUCGUUUUCAUUUUGACUCCCUUUCCAAUGGUUAUGAUUUGAAGAGAAAGAGGUUUCGUACUUCCUUCUCGCCAACACGAUGUUAAUGCUGUAGACAACAAACUUCAUGUAAAGAUGGAAAAAUGGUUAGGCCACUUUCUCCAAGACAUGAGGGUUAGGGUUCCACUAAGUAAGCCUGUUUCGUGGGGUUAGGUCUCCACCAGAGAACAUAUGUUGAUUCAUUUUGGUUUUCAUUUUAAUAAUUUUUUAAUUUUUUAAUUUUGUUUUAUUAUGGUUAUAAGUUGGAAAUUAUGUUUUAUUUUGGUUUAACAUGUAUUAUUAUGUUUUAAAAGGUUAAUUAUGUUUCAAUAAGUUUCUAAGGUGGUGAUUUUAUUUUAUUAAGGUUAUAAGUUAUGAUUCCCAUAGAUCUCUCCCUUUUUGAUAUUUCUCAAGCCUUUUUUUUCUCAUCUUUAUUUGCUUAAAAAAAUUCUUUAAUUAUCUCUCAGGCUACUAGUUUCUGAGGUUUUUUCCAAUUAUUUUGUUUCAUUUCAUUUCAAUUGAUAUGAAAACCCAAUCUAGGAUAGUUUGGGUGUAGAUGAUGAUCACAAAACCAUCACCUUCAUAAACCAGAAAUCUCACUGCCCCUUGUAGUUGUGUUGGCUUUCACUGUUUAAACCAUGGACAUUUUUUUUUCUCCUCUUGUUGUAGCUUGUCAAUUUUCCCCUAAUUUAUUCUUGUUUGAGCUUAGAAAAAUAAAAAAUAAAAAUUGAGAAUUGAACUAUAAAAAUUUAAAAAAAGAACAGAAAAAAAAUGAUAAAAAGAAGAAAGAGGGAAAAAACCUUUCUUGCUUUUAUUCUUGAGCUGUUAUUGCUAGAUAUUGCAGAAACAUACAAUUUCAUAUUGAUGCACAUAGAUGGAUAUUGCAAAAGCAUAUGAUUUCAAAUUAUACCUAUUUCAUGUUUGAAACAAAUUUUUGUAAGUUGGGGUGUUUACUUGGUUGUAAAUAAAUUCAUAUGUUUCUUCUGACAGCUCUGUUUACUAAUAUUUAUAAUAUUACUGAGUAUCUCUGUAUUUUGUUCUCUUUGGUAAAACUGUUUGUGUUUGACCUUUACUUCUAUGUCAAUUUUCUUUCUUAAAGGGGAAGGUGAAUAUCGAAGCUAAGGCUGGGGUGAAAUUGGAAAUACCCAAUGGAGCUGUAGUUGCAAACAAGGUAACGUUGCUGGAAACCAGGUCCUUCAUUUUAACCAGAGGUUAUCGUUUUAUCUGCGCUCACUAUAUUAUUAUGAUUUUCAGGUGAUCAAUGGUCCUCAGGACAUCUAAGGAAACUGUUUGUCUUAAAUUUGUCUUGGAGAGUGUACACAUCUAAAAACACUGUAACGGGUCCUAUUUUGAUCGUGCACAUUAAGUAUUUGAUAGAAUAAGAGGACCAUUUUGUUUGCAAUGACACUCUUAUUUGAAAUAUUGCAAGUUUUAAUGGCUACCUUUCUGCUGACGGGGAAAUGUUUUGUGAGAAUGGUGGAACUCCACCAGUAAUUAGAUGAAGUCCAGUGAAACAAAACUAAAUAUGGAAUGGUGGUGCCUUUAAAUGAGAUGUGUGGGUCUUGCUGGACUGAAAGCAUUGAUUUUGAGAAGGUGCCCGGGUGGGCUGUUAGCCCCGUGUUCCUUCUGACUAGGCCACUGGAUAUCUUUGGGUCUUUUUUUUGUGGAGCUCAGCCUGCUUGUUCUCG